GGGGAUUUGGACAUGGGCGAAAGCCUGAUCCAGCCAUGCCGCGUGUGUGAAUAAGGUCUUCGGAUUGUAAAGCACUUUAAGUUGGGAGGAAGGGCAGUAAAUUAAUACUCUGCUGUUUUGACGUUACCGACAGAAUAAGCACCGGCUAAC
RNAcentral lists this ribosomal RNA (150 nucleotides) under uncultured bacterium. RNAcentral's name for it is "partial 16S rRNA". It matches the Rfam family "Bacterial small subunit ribosomal RNA", at positions 358 to 501 of the family's 1533-position model. The record is from RNAcentral.